This 460-nucleotide ribosomal RNA is filed under the name uncultured bacterium. Its description in RNAcentral is "partial 16S ribosomal RNA". It matches the Rfam family "Bacterial small subunit ribosomal RNA", at positions 338 to 795 of the family's 1533-position model. The record is from RNAcentral.
CCUACGGGAGGCAGCAGUGAGGAAUAUUGGUCAAUGGACGAGAGUCUGAACCAGCCAAGUAGCGUGAAGGAUGACUGCCCUAUGGGUUGUAAACUUCUUUUAUAUGGGAAUAAAAUGUUCCACGUGUGGGAUUUUGUAUGUACCAUAUGAAUAAGGAUCGGCUAACUCCGUGCCAGCAGCCGCGGUAAUACGGAGGAUCCGAGCGUUAUCCGGAUUUAUUGGGUUUAAAGGGAGAGUAGGUGGAUUGUUAAGUCAGUUGUGAAAGUUUGCGGCUCAACCGUAAAAUUGCAGUUGAAACUGGCAGUCUUGAGUACAGUAGAGGUGGGCGGAAUGCGUGGUGUAGCGGUGAAAUGCUUAGAUAUCACGAAGAACUCCGAUUGCGAAGGCAGUUCACUGGACUGCAACUGACACUGAGGCUCGAAAGUGUGGGUAUCAAACAGGAUUAGAUACCCCUGUAGUC